CCCUUUCUGAAUUAAAGCUUGUUCUCCUUACCCCCUCCAACCCAACAUGUCUAGCUCCGCCCCCGACUCAGCUUGCUACCAUGCAACUAGUGCUUUACCAACCUAUUUCUGUUUUACACGUUCAUAACUGAUAAAAGUAAUGACUUUUUAUUAUGCAGUAUGCUGAUAUGGAUCUGCACACACCAACUUCUUUGCAGUUCUACUCCAUAUGUUUCUUUGCAAUUUCUUAUGCCUUGUCUUUGUAUCCAGGUCUUGCGAUCAAAUCAUGGGGAUGAGUAUUCUUUCGCCGAGCUAAAUCCUAUCCAAUGGACGUGUGGUGAUUCUCCUAAGGUUGAUUACGAAUGUCUUUCUUCUUGUUGAUCUUCCGUAGGUUAUAAUGCCUAUUUUUCUUGUGCUUGUGAGGAAGUUAAUUAGAGAUAUCAUGACCACUUGCAGAACAUGUUUAAUUGGGUUUGGUUUGUAUAUGUGUAGUUUAGAGUCUUGUGGGUUCGCGUGUCUUGUGAAGAUUCCAGUUAGUAUUUUACUACAUUAACAUGUGUCUCUUGUCAGUCACGAAUGAGUGGACAUAUUAGACUGUUUGCUUCCUCCAAUAUACUGCUAUAAGAAGUAACGAACAAUACAUGGUCAGCCACUACCAAUGUAAUUUCCAACUUUGCUUGUUCCAGAUUCUUGUGCCUAUUGCUAAUGGGAGCGAGGAGAUGGAAGCUGUUAUCAUCAUUGAUGUACUCCGACGAGCAAAAGCUGAAGUGGUAGUGGCAUCUGUCGGAGAGAAACUCGAAAUUGAGGCUUCUAGGAAUGUCAAACUAGUUGCUGAUGUUCUCCUAGAUGAAGUCAUUGGCAAUUCGUUUGACCUUAUUGUCUUACCGGUAUGAGAUUUGUCAUCUGCUGUUGGUAUCUGCUAAUAUGUAUAAUAACAUGUCACAUCUGGUGCAUAACAUUCUGUACAAUCAGGGUGGACUUGGUGGAGCUCAAGCCUUCACAGAGUCGGAUAAGCUCGUAAAUUUGCUGAAGAAACAAAGAGAAUCAAAUAAACUAUACGGAGCAAUAUGUGCAUCUCCAGCUUUGGUCCUCGAGCCCCAUGGUUUGCUCAAGGUUGAAUUCAAAACUUUUAGAUGAUGAAACUGCACCACAGGCUUGCAUUUUGGCAACAACAUAAAGUUUACACAAAUUGCAUGCAUUUUGUUGCUCUUGUAAUUAAAAUUUUCAUUUACAUAUUUACAAUCAGUAGUUGAGAAACAUUGUUGAUUACUAGUUUCUAAUUAGUUGAAUUGAUUUUGAUCUCGAUCUUUAUCUUGCAGGGUAAAAAGGCUACUGCUUUUCCCGCCAUGUGCAACAAAUUGUCAGACCCGAGUGAAGCAGAAAACCGAGUGGUGGUGGAUGGCAAUCUUGUCACAAGUCGAGGACCCGGAACCACCAUGGAGUUUGCAUUGGUGAUAGUUGAGAAGUUUUUUGGACGGGAUAAAGCCCUUGAGCUUGCAAAGGCCAUGGUUUUCGUGCAUUAGUAGAUAUCUCGUCGAAAUGAUGUGCUGUGGUAAGUUUUACUUUAAUCUUACUACUCAAAUCCUACGAGGAGACGAUGUUGUAAUGGCUGCUGCUAUCUUGUAAUCUCCUCUGCAAGUCUCUUGUCUUGCUCAAGUGAUUAUCAAUAAAAUCUUCAACGAGGUUUUGAUAUAUGAUUUAGGUAAGUAUGAAUUUUCAAGUUUUUGAUGGGUCCGAUUGAAUCCUUAUUCCUUCAAAAUGGCUUUCAGCAAAAAAAUCCGCAUCAUGUGGCGAAAUUUGUUGCUGAGUUUACUAAGGGUGCAUUUACUUUGGUUAUUAAAUUUUAUGGAUAAGAAAAAAUAUUAUUUUUCUCACAUUUUUUAUCAUAUGUUUAUUAGGGUAUAUUUACUUUGAUGAAAAAAGAGAGAAAAGUAUAUUUUCACCCAUUUUUCAUCAUUUUCACCUGUUUAUUAUGAUGAAAUAUUUUCUCGGAUAAUCUUUUUUUACUCAUUUUCUCUUUAAUGUUGGAUAAUAUUAUCCUAAGGUAGGGGGGUGAAUGUAUGCGUGUAUUGUCCAAGCGGUAAGUGGUUAAUGUUUAAGGCCAAAAGACUUGGGUUUGAGUCCCCUGUGGUGCGGCUUUUAAAUUUCUUUAUUUAAUAUUGUUAAUUUAUCAAAAAAAAGGUGGGGUAGUGAAAAUUAUUUUUCAAUCUUUUCAUCUCUAGUAAAUAUAUGAUUAAAAAAAAGAGAAAAGAAUAAUAUUUUUUCAUAUUUUUUAUCCAUUAUUUUCUAAUGAAAAAUUUUACAAUUUAAAGUAAAUACAUUCUUAGAGAUGAAAAGUUGAGAAAAUAUUGAUAUUUUUACAUACAUGCCCUAGGAUAAUAUUAUUCAACAUUGAUGAGAAAAAGAGUGAAAAUGAGCUGUACAAUAAAAAGAGUAUUCUAUUUUGCUUGGAGAAAAUUUUUCAUUAUAUAGUAAACAUGUGAAAAUUAUGAAAAAUUAAUGAAAAUAUAUUUUUUCUCUUUUUUUCCAUUAAAGUAAAUGCACCCUAAUUGAAAAUCAAGGAAGUAUUAAUUCAUCAAUGGAAGUACUAAUGGUUUUAUUUUUCAAUAUUUGUGUAUCUCUUAAUACUUUUUUUAAAUUUGUGCCCCUUCAUUUGCAUUGCGCUUAUCGUGAAUGAAUGAAGUAUUAAAUUAUAAACCGAAUUUAAAAAUAAAAUACUAAAAAAAAUUAGUAUAUUAUAUAAAUUAAUUAUUAAUCUUAUUGGAUUUGUGGUUGUAGUCAGACUUUUGACUCGCAGAUCUUUGGUCUUCCUACACCAGAAACAAUUUGGUUGUGAUAAAAUUAGAUUUAAAUAUGUGAUGUGUAGAUUAAGUAACGAUUAUUUAAAAGGUUUGAUGAUGCUCCGUCGAAUCUCAGAUGCAUUUUGUUAUAAUCAAAUCCAAGAUCCAGCGUGCGGCUGUGUUGACUUUUGAAUAAUUGAAUUACGUUUCUAACAGAAGAAAUUCUACCUUUACGCAAGGAAGGAGAUAUAUAUCAAUAAUAACCCACUUUAAUAUUUUUAAUCAUUACACUCGUAUUUGAUUCAAUACGGAGCGUUGACUUUUACUAUACACUAACUCAAGAUCAAUAUCUUAUUCCACUUUCCUUUUUAGUUUGUCCCAAUAAUCUUGUCUCAUUUCUUUUUAAAAAUUUUAGGAACUAAUUAAUUUCUAAUUAAACACUAUCCUAAUUAAUCCCCCUCCAAACCCUAAUUUAUCUCUCUCUCUCUCCACACUCUCUUGCCAGUUGCCUCCCUCUCUUCUUUACCCUUCCCACCUCCAUCCCUCUGUCCUCUGAGCCUUUUUUUGGAGCUCUCAGACCAGUCUUUGGCUAUGUACCAAAUCCAUUUGUGCUGUGGGUUAUUUAACCUAAUGAAUACAAGGAGAAGGUGGGGCCCUUUCUGAAUUAAAGCUUGUUCUCCUUACCCCCUCCAACCCAACAUGUCUAGCUCCCGCCCCCGACUCAGCUUGCUACCAUGCAACUAGUGCUUUACCAACCUAUUUCUGUUUUACACGUUCAUAACUGAUAAAAGUAAUGACUUUUUAUUAUGCAGUAUGCUGAUAUGGAUCUGCACACACCAACUUCUUUGCAGUUCUACUCCAUAUGUUUCU
Molecule: long non-coding RNA, 3629 nt
Filed under: Salvia miltiorrhiza (redroot sage)
Lineage: Eukaryota; Viridiplantae; Streptophyta; Magnoliopsida; Lamiales; Lamiaceae
Description: long non-coding RNA (SMIL_LNC009167)
Source: RNAcentral